GGCAGCUUUGUUUACCUACUCACAGCUUGGCAAUGGCAGGCGCCCCUCCCCCAGCCUGGCUGCCGCCUUGCAGUUUGAUCUCAGACUGCCCUGCUAGCAAUCAGCGAGACUCCGUGGGCGUAGGACCCUCCGAGCCAGGUGCGGGAUAUAGUCUCCUGGUGCGCCGUUUCCUAAGCCCGUCGGAAAAGUGCAGUAUUAGGUUGGGAGUGACCAGAUUUUCCAGGUGCCGUCUGUCACCCCUUUCCUUGACCAGGAAAGGGAACUCCCUGACCCCUUGCACUUCCUGAGUGAGGCAAUGCCUCGCCCUGCUUGGGCUCAUGCACAGUGCGCGGCACCCACUGUCCUGCGCCCACUGUCUGGCACUCCCUAGUGAGAUGAACCUGGUACCUCAGAGGGAAAUGCAGAAAUCACCCAUCUUCUGUGUCACUCACGCUGGGAGCUGUAGACCGGAGCUGUUCCUAUUCGGCCAUCUUGGCUCCCUUAAACUGAUCCUCUUAAACACAGAGCCAAGAAGAUUGAUACAUGACUGGAGCCUGAAUGGUAGAACUUUUUCAGAAGUGAGGAGUCUGUUGGCCCAGAAGAUCUGCGGUAAGAUCUGCCUCAACAUACCUUACUCAUUUUUUUCAAAGAGACUCUAGAGUCUAAAAUGAACAACCAAUCAAUUCUACAAACAUUGCAUCAUGAGGAGUUGCUGCACCUCUUCUCCAGGAUUUGCAAAACGUGUAGUCCAAAUCGAGUUCGGCUAGAACUGGUCUGUCAUCAAGAUAUGGCUCAUGAAAGAGAUUGGUGUUUAGGAGGCUGGGAAAAGGAAAUAUUUUGAGAGACUUCAUGUGCUCCGCACAUGGAGGUGGCUUCCUUUUGCCUCAGGUGAAGGGAGCUUCAACAAGAUCACUCAGAGUUUGAUCAAUGAUCUUAGAAUUUGCAGAACAUAGGGACUGCCAUUUGACUCACCCUUUAGAAGUCAGGAGGAAAGGUUACGUGGCUGGCACUUCUCAUGUCUGGGAAGGAACAACUGUGAAGUGCUGACCUAGACGAAUGUUGCACUUCCGCUGAUGAGUAGGCAAUGGCGAAUGUUUUCCAGGGUCCAAAUGUGGACCCGGCAACAGAGAGGCUGUCUGUAAUCACUUUAUAAGAGACACUAACAACAAUGACCACUGGGACUAAAGAGAGCACAACGGAAGUAGUUCUGCCAGAAGGGCUGAGGAGAGGGCUGAGCAACCACCCUCAGGGGAGGCAGACCCACAUCAAAGACAUCUCAGCAGUCCCUUUCCCAUGAAAGAAAGAGCUAGAAAUUGUCCAUUUGACACACACACAAACCAGAUCCCAGAUUGCAAUUGAUUCAGAUAAUGAAAAGCUUGUUCUUUUCACUUGCUGUUCUAGCCUAACCAUGUAGGUGUCAGAAGCAGUUGUAGGCUAGGAGAGAAGUCGGAGCAAUACAGAAGCCAGUUCUGCCUUUGCCUCAAGAUCCACUGUCCACUCAGAGGCAGGCUGGCACAUGGGGGAUGAGAACAUUCCAAGAAAGAUGUGAAUCUGGAAUUUUCAUUUAUGCAGUAGAUGGGGAUUUACUACUGAAAGGAACAUGUUUUGGCAACUAAUAGUGACCAAAAGAAUUUGUACUUACUAAAAAUUAUCUUAAAAGCAUGGGAUUACCCUAGCAUUUUGUUUCAGAAACUGAAAUUAACAGAAAACUAUAAAAUUACUUUCUGCCUGAAACCUAAGAAGGUGAACUCAUGCCAGAAACCAGUUACAUUCACAAUUACCUGGAUUUUGUUAUUUCCUACAAUGAAUAAAACUUAUUAUAAAGCAGAAAAGC
RNAcentral lists this long non-coding RNA (1813 nucleotides) under Homo sapiens (human). RNAcentral describes it as "HSALNT0210406". Lineage: Eukaryota; Metazoa; Chordata; Mammalia; Primates; Hominidae. The record is from RNAcentral.